This 497-nucleotide ribosomal RNA is filed under the name uncultured bacterium. Its description in RNAcentral is "partial 16S ribosomal RNA". It matches the Rfam family "Bacterial small subunit ribosomal RNA", at positions 28 to 507 of the family's 1533-position model. The record is from RNAcentral.
GAUGAACGCUGGCGGCGUGCCUAAUACAUGCAAGUCGAGCGGACGGACGAGAAGCUUGCUUCUCUGAUGUUAGCGGCGGACGGGUGAGUAACACGUGGAUAACCUACCUAUAAGACUGGGAUAACUUCGGGAAACCGUAGCUAAUACCGGAUAAUAUUUUGAACCGCAUGGUUCAAAAGUGAAAGACGGUCUUGCUGUCACUUAUAGAUGGAUCCGCGCUGCAUUAGCUAGUUGGUAAGGUAACGGCUUACCAAGGCAACGAUGCAUAGCCGACCUGAGAGGGUGAUCGGCCACACUGGAACUGAGACACGGUCCAGACUCCUACGGGAGGCAGCAGUAGGGAAUCUUCCGCAAUGGGCGAAAGCCUGACGGAGCAACGCCGCGUGAGUGGUGAAGGUCUUCGGAUCGUAAAACUCUGUUAUUAGGGAAGAACAUAUGUGUAAGUAACUGUGCACAUCUUGACGGUACCUAAUCAGAAAGCCACGGCUAACUACGUG